This 543-nucleotide ribosomal RNA is filed under the name uncultured bacterium. RNAcentral's name for it is "partial 16S ribosomal RNA". It matches the Rfam family "Bacterial small subunit ribosomal RNA", at positions 356 to 889 of the family's 1533-position model. The record is from RNAcentral.
AGGGAAUCUUCCACAAUGGACGCAAGUCUGAUGGAGCAACGCCGCGUGAGUGAAGAAGGUUUUCGGACCGUAAAGCUCUGUUGUUGGUGAAGAAGGAUAGAGGUAGUAACUGGCCUUUAUUUGACGGUAAUCAACCAGAAAGUCACGGCUAACUACGUGCCAGCAGCCGCGGUAAUACGUAGGUGGCAAGCGUUGUCCGGAUUUAUUGGGCGUAAAGCGAGCGCAGGCGGAAGAAUAAGUCUGAUGUGAAAGCCCUCGGCUUAACCGAGGAAAUUGCAUCGGAAACUGUUUUUCUUGAGUGCAGAAGAGGAGAGUAGAACUCCAUGUGUAGCGGUGGAAUGCGUAGAUAUAUGGAAGAAUACCAGUGGCGAAGGCGGCUCUCUGGUCUGCAACUGACGCUGAGGCUCGAAAGCAUGGGUAGCGAACAGGAUUAGAUACCCUGGUAGUCCAUGCCGUAAACGAUGAGUGCUAAGUGUUGGGAGGCUUCCGCCUCUCAGUGCUGCAGCUAACGCAUUAAGCACUCCGCCUGGGGAGUACGACCGC